RNAcentral lists this unclassified non-coding RNA (253 nucleotides) under uncultured Caulobacteraceae bacterium. RNAcentral's name for it is "contains 16S-23S intergenic spacer region". It matches the Rfam family "Bacterial small subunit ribosomal RNA", at positions 524 to 776 of the family's 1533-position model. The record is from RNAcentral. Lineage: Bacteria; Pseudomonadati; Pseudomonadota; Alphaproteobacteria; Caulobacterales; Caulobacteraceae.
UACGAAGGGGGCUAGCGUUGCUCGGAAUUACUGGGCGUAAAGGGCGCGUAGGCGGGUCGUUAAGUCAGAGGUGAAAGCCCAGGGCUCAACCCUGGAAUUGCCCUUGAUACUGGCGACCUUGAGUAUGGCAGAGGUGUGUGGAACUCCGAGUGUAGAGGUGAAAUUCGUAGAUAUUCGGAAGAACACCAGUGGCGAAGGCGACACACUGGGCCAUUACUGACGCUGAGGCGCGAAAGCAAGGGGAUCAAACAGG